ACCUGCAGGGAAAUGCCCACCCCCAGCGCUCUCCCUCACCACUCCGAGACUUGCAGCUUCCCCAGCUCCCCACGUGGCCCAUGCUGGGAGUUUCUGCUCUGCCGGAAAUGGCUGGGCCUUGGAGCUUCCCCCCACCCCCCGGGGCCUCUCUACCUCAGCCCUUCCUCCCCAUUUCCCCAGCCCUGAGCUCAGCGCUGCCCUGCACCUCCUCCCCAGCCUGGAGUCUCGCUGGCUGUGGCAUAUUUGCCUCAAGCCUCCCCAGUUCCCUUCAUCUCCAAGAAUGGAGUUAGAGCCUCACCCUAGUCUGUCCGCUGAGCAGCUCCCGAGAUGCCCACUGUGCCCUAAGGGUGCAGGAGAUGGCAGCAGGGGAUGGGAAGCAG
RNAcentral lists this long non-coding RNA (380 nucleotides) under Homo sapiens (human). Its description in RNAcentral is "HSALNT0181969". The record is from RNAcentral. Lineage: Eukaryota; Metazoa; Chordata; Mammalia; Primates; Hominidae.